GGCUAUUUAGUUUACUAAAAACAAAUGUUUUGAAAACAUUUAAAAAGUAUUAUUACCUACUUAAUAACCA
RNAcentral lists this transfer RNA (70 nucleotides) under Curtonida isos. RNAcentral describes it as "Munida isos tRNA-Ser". The record is from RNAcentral. Lineage: Eukaryota; Metazoa; Arthropoda; Malacostraca; Decapoda; Munididae.